GAUGAACGCUCGCGGCAGGCCUAACACAUGCAAGUCGAGGGAGAAGCCCUUUCGGGGGCAGAAACCGGCGCACGGGUGCGUAACGCGUAUGCAACCUACCUUUCACAGGGGGAUAGCCCGAAGAAAUUUGGAUUAAUACCCCAUAAUAUUAUUGUAUGUCAUCAUUUGAUAAUUAAAACUGCGGUGGUGAAAGAUGGGCAUGCGUCCUAUUAGCUAGUUGGAGUGGUAACGGCACCCCAAGGCUACGAUAGGUAGGGGUCCUGAGAGGGAGAUCCCCCACAAUGGUACUGAGACAGGGACCAGAAUCCUACGGGAGGCAGCAGUGAGGAAUAUUGGUGAAGGGUCGGAAGACGGAACCAGCCAUGCCGCGUGCAGGAAGAAUGCCUUAUGGGUUGUAAACUGCUUUUAUAGGGGAAGAAUAAGGUGUACGUGUACAUUGAUGACGGUACCAUAUGAAUAAGCAUCGGCUAACUCCGUG
This 478-nucleotide ribosomal RNA is filed under the name uncultured bacterium. RNAcentral describes it as "partial 16S ribosomal RNA". It matches the Rfam family "Bacterial small subunit ribosomal RNA", at positions 28 to 507 of the family's 1533-position model. The record is from RNAcentral.